UGGACCUUCACAACCACUACCCCUCGCCUUGGGAUUUUCCUAGAGAAAGCACCCAGAGCGUAUCUCAAGAAGCAACGUAGAGAGGACCCAGGCUUGGGACCAGACAGACCUGAGUUUCUUCUCCUCCUCUAUCAUGUAUCAGUCACGACAGCUAGGCAAGGCUCAGCCUCGGUUUCCCAGUCUGUCAAAGGUGUGGCCUCCAGACAAGAGAGGGUUCCCUUCCUUUUGGGUCUUCUUCUCUGGAAACUCCAAGAUACAGGGCCCACCGCCCCCCCCCCUCCCCAGGCUGGGAAGCAGGUGUCACUGACUCGGCUGCCCUACACGCCCAUCCCCACCCCCAUCUCUUCAGCCCCUUUGGCUAAGGCCAAGGUACUCCUGCUUCCUUCCCUCAACCCUGACCCCUGACCCAAGCCAGCAGCAUUCUCACAUCUCUGCCUGCCAAUCCCACCUGCGCUGCUAGAGCCUCACCCCCUCAGCCACCUCCCUCCAGUUUGAUGACCUCACACCGUGUGUCACCAAGUGACUCAAAGGACCCUCACACCCAUUACCUCCUUUGAGACCUACAACAAGCCCUGCUUGGAGAAGGAGUGCACGGCAUUUUCUGCAACUGCAAAGCAAAGAACCUGAAUUCCAAGUGACUGCACAGACACACAGCAAGUUCUGGAAGCACACCUCCUGGUUCUUACACCAAUAGGUGACUCACACCAUGUUCCACCAUCAGGAAGCUCCUAGAUGCGACUCAGAUCACAAAUGAGUCCCACGUUCCUGCUGAGGCCGGCAGUUCUGGCAACUUUGGUCAGAUGGAUGGAUAGAGACAGCACGGCACCACGUGGGAGGUGUUCUGUCAACAGUGUCCGAUGGACGGAGCUGCUGGGCUUGCAGCACUCGAGUUCCGGCCUGCCUCUCCAGCAGAUGUAUUUCUCCCCCGCGCAAAGGCAGAGGAAGGAAGCUGAGGACGCGUGGAGAGAGGCUGAGCAGCCUCCUCUGGUCCAGAUGCCUGAUGAUGGAGGCUGUCAGCCUGGCCCCACCACCCGCCCCAUCACUGUGCUGAGUGGGCCCCAGGGAUAACUCAGUGGGGGAGGCUAGGAUGGGGAGGGGCAGGGUCCUAAAGCCAUAACUGUAACAUGGGGAAGGGUCAAGGCAGCUAGGCGGGGGGCAGAAAUCAGAGAGAACCGCCAGCAGUCAGCGGGAAGAAUGUGGAUUUAAUGGAAUGAAGGAUGAGAGGGCCUGAAGCCAGCAACAGUCUCGCCCCACCCACCAGCCCCCACCCAGCUUCCCAAGGGUCUCAGAGGGACACUCUUGGCACUGGCCUUUCACAUCUGUUCAGCAACCCCUGAGCUGAAAAGUUGGAGUGGGAGGCCUCCAGCUCAGCAGGUGGACUCCAAAAUACCCCUCUUGUCUUAUCCACUCCAGGUCGGGGGCAGGGAAGCACAUGGGGCUGCUUCUGCCCCGUCCCCUCUGCAGCCAUCCCCACAGCCAGGCUCACAGGCACCAUCCAAGGCCUGCCCCCUAGCAGUGAGACUCCAGCUCUGUGAGUCUGAGCAGUGAGGUCCUGGGGGUGGCGGGAGCCGAGGGUCCUGCUGGGUUCCUCUGGGGCAGGUCCUCGGCUGGGCAGAUGAGCUGACGGAUUCUCUGCGGGGCGAGCGGAGGUGGCUGUCAGGUGCGGAGUGGGGGCAGGUCUGCCAGCUUCCCUCAUCACCAACAUCUACCUGCCUCCCCACACACAAACAUGCCCUGCUGUCAUCACAGCUGCUGUCUGGGAGUCCCCCUGUGUCUUCCUGAGACUUCUCAGCAGGCACUCUAUCGCUCCCUGACACCCAGGCUGGGCCCACUGGCCCCUCCAUACAACUGUGUGCACCCUGGCUGGCAGCCCACCUGUCAGCGCCUGCGAAGCCUCCCAGCCCCUCUGGCUGCUUUCCUGCCCACAAAGGCCCUACCUCUCUGAAGGGGCCCUUGAGGGUGCCGAGUCUGUAGAGGCUCCAGGCAGGAAUGCAGACCAUGGAGGACAGAGCCAGGAGCCAGCCCAGAGCAUCGCCCCACCAUGGGUACGUGUACUUCUUGUUGUAGGUCAGUGGAGUGUACUUGAUCAGGGAGAAGAGGAAGGUGGCCUGGGGGGGACGGCAGAAGAGAAAGGGGUUGGGGGGCGGGGGCCUUGUGCCCUCAGCUCCCCCGCCCCCCCAGCAGCCUGGCAGAAAUCACCCUCCAAGCCUGGAUUCCCUCUAGGCUCUUCUGGACCAAUCAGCCUCCAAUCUUCUCCAUCCACACUCUGCCCAAAACCCACACCCUCCAGCAGUAUACUCUGUCACUCCAGGGCCCCUGUACCCCUGGGCACCUCUAUGUGCAGCUGACUCCCAGUUAGGUUGUCAUCAUGUUACCACUGCAUGCUGUGAGGUAUUUACUACCUCUCCUGCACCAUGAGUUUGGGGUACGAGUACACCUCAAGGGUACAGGCCAUGCCUCAGUUAUAUCUUGCACACAGUGGGGGCUCAGGAACAGCUGACGCAAAGAGACAAGGCCAAAGGAAGCUGCACGUUGGGGUUUCAGGCCCACAUUCUGGAGCCAGGUUGCGUGGGUUUGAAUCCCAGUUCUCUGCAACUUUCUCGCUUGGGCCAGUGGCUUAACAACCUCUUCAACCUCAGUUUCACCUGUAACACCAGUGUAACAACAGCACUUCCUUUAUGGGACUCUUGUGAGGAUUAAAUGAGUUAAUACGUGUUAAAGCACCUUGUGCCCAACACAAAGUCAGUGCUCUAUACCGGCUGCUA
Molecule: long non-coding RNA, 2765 nt
Organism: Symphalangus syndactylus (siamang)
Lineage: Eukaryota; Metazoa; Chordata; Mammalia; Primates; Hylobatidae
Source: RefSeq, a predicted model, not a curated record